This is a non-coding RNA of Physcomitrium patens, 1561 nucleotides long. Lineage: Eukaryota; Viridiplantae; Streptophyta; Bryopsida; Funariales; Funariaceae. The record is from RefSeq and is a predicted model, not a curated record.
AACAGUUUCGGCACCAAGUCUUAAGAGGUUCACUGAAGAUGUGGGGUGUGAGGGGGCAAGCGGGGUUGAACCGCUGACCUAUCGGACUGCAGCCGAUUGCUCUGCCACUGAGCUAUACCCCCGGCGGAACCGACUCCAACGGAUCUGUCUGGAUUCUUCGGGUUUUCAUUUAGUAUUUGAAAGUGUAUUUCUUAGUAAAUACUAUAUUUCAUUGUCGUCUCUCACUAAGAGAGAAGCAAUUACUGGAGGGUUAUGUGAAGUUUUAGAAGCUUUGGAAGCUUGUCUGCUCCACUGAAGCGCAGCGAAGCGAAGGUGGGAAUUUCCCACGCACCUGCUCUCGCUCCUACAUUUCGUUCGUCUUUCUCGCGGGCUUUCGAUUUGUGCUUCCGGUGGCGGCGUCGCUUUUGCGGCGUUUGACGCGGUAGGCUUUGUCGGAAUGGUGUUUGGGCUGACCAUGUUUUGGGGGGAUUUUGAUGGAAGAAGCGGAUGAUGUGGACCAAGAGUUGGUCGAGAUUUGAGUGAGCGUUGGGAUUGAGAUGCUGUUCGCGUUUUGUGAGGUGGGCUCAGAGCUCGGGCGAUUGAAUUAGUUUGGAAAAAUCGGAGGAUUUUCGGAUCGGAGUGUGUGAAUGUAGAGGAGCUCGUGCUCGUGCUCCUGCUUAUGCAAUGGCGUAUUAUUCGUAUUCUCCUGAUCUCAUGAAGCGUCUCAAGGAGGAGUUUGUUAGUAAUUUGGAGGGUACCACGAUGCGGGAGAUCGCCGCCAUGUCUGCAUUGUUUCCGGUAGGUCUUUUUUUACCCCAGUUCAUGAAUCGAGUAUGGCAAUACAGCGCUUGGUUAUCCUUUUCUGUGCCUGAACCAGCUCUCAAAUAUUCAUUGAGGUGGUCGGAGUUAUCGCUGCUUGAUAUGAUUGAGAUUAAUUUUCUGCCAUAGUAUAUGGCUAGUUCGUGCAUUUCGUGCAUAGAAUGCUUUUUCGUCUUUUGAGUGGUUUAUUUGCAACCGCUGUGGUUUUUGAAAUUCUUAGGUAUGACCUUUUUGUUGACUAAUUUCAUUGAUUAAAACUGAAGUUACUGUUGGAAUAGUUUUUGUCAUUUGUUUUGUUGUUUUUUCAUUUUAUAAUAUUUUUUGUGGCUAAGUUAAGGUAUAUUUCUUUAUUGAAGUAUAUGUAUAUAUAUUUUUUUAUAUAUGUGUUUUCUUAUUUUAUUAUUGUAGUGUUAUUGAGGUAUUGUCUGUAAUUUAUCUCUCUUUCUUUGUAACGCUAUGUAUUUUAUUCUCAUUAGGUUAUUAGUUUGCUGUAUUUUUUAUUUUAAUUUUUGUAGAAUUUAUUUAUUAAUUCAUAAAACUGUUGUGUAGAGAAAUUACGCAAUGAGGUGCUAGUAAAUUUUUUUGUUGAACUAAUUUGUGUUGACUUUUCUAAUACACUUUUUUAGUUAUUUCAGGCCUCUACAUUUUGCUUCUAAAUAUAAGAGCAUAACAUAUUGCAGAAUAGUGUUCUUAAAAAUGUGAAGAUGAUACAUUAUACAUUUAAUUGCAAAGAUUACUGUAAUUAAUUUUGAUUUUCGGUGUA